UCCCUAGUGGCGCAACUGGUUAGCGCGCGGUACUUAUAAUGCCGAGGUUGUGAGUUCGAUCCUCACCUGGGGAA
This 74-nucleotide transfer RNA is filed under the name Trichonephila clavata. Its description in RNAcentral is "tRNA-Ile". It matches the Rfam family "tRNA". From Rfam's summary of the family: Transfer RNA (tRNA) molecules are approximately 80 nucleotides in length. Lineage: Eukaryota; Metazoa; Arthropoda; Arachnida; Araneae; Nephilidae. The record is from RNAcentral.